Molecule: ribosomal RNA, 486 nt
Filed under: uncultured bacterium
Lineage: Bacteria
Description: partial 16S ribosomal RNA
Rfam family: Bacterial small subunit ribosomal RNA
Source: RNAcentral
AUUGAACGCUGGCGGCAUGCCUUACACAUGCAAGUCGAACGGCAGCACGGGUGCUUGCACCUGGUGGCGAGUGGCGAACGGGUGAGUAAUACAUCGGAACAUGUCCUGUAGUGGGGGAUAGCCCGGCGAAAGCCGGAUUAAUACCGCAUACGAUCUACGGAUGAAAGCGGGGGACCUUCGGGCCUCGCGCUAUAGGGUUGGCCGAUGGCUGAUUAGCUAGUUGGUGGGGUAAAGGCCUACCAAGGCGACGAUCAGUAGCUGGUCUGAGAGGACGACCAGCCACACUGGGACUGAGACACGGCCCAGACUCCUACGGGAGGCAGCAGUGGGGAAUUUUGGACAAUGGGCGAAAGCCUGAUCCAGCAAUGCCGCGUGUGUGAAGAAGGCCUUCGGGUUGUAAAGCACUUUUGUCCGGAAAGAAAUCCUUGGCCAUAAUACGGUCGGGGGAUGACGGUACCGGAAGAAUAAGCACCGGCUAACUACGUG